GCCAGCCCCAGCACCGCCCAGCAGAUGCAAACCGGGCAGGACACUCACAGCCGUAAUUUCCUCCGGUUCUACGCAAGGCCGCAUGCUGAUAGCCAGGUAUCCUGCAAUGGAUAGUCAAGUAUGAAAACAUGGAGUGAUUUCAAUGAAGUGUUACCAGCUUGCAUUGUGGCAUAUCAAAGCUUUAAGCAUCAGGCUAUUUCAUGAACCCUGCUAAGGAGUGACGGAUACUACAGAGGGAACAUUUUUCCAGCCAACUUGAAUAUAUCUGAAGGAGCAAAGCAGCAUACAUUCCUUUUAUUUUCUUUCUACCAGCAAAGGAAUAGGAAGAAGCUUGUCCAGUAAGGCUUUUACAUGGUGUUUUUUACAUGCAGAACUACACCAGCUAAAUCAAAUCCCUGAAGGAGUCACUUGAAGGGAAUGGAAAUUUGGCUGUCAGGUAUUUAGUUUUGGGUGGCAGGACAUGGUUAGUUUCUCCUCCUUCCAUCUUGUCUUUCAGAAAGUUUCAUCAGCCAGGCCUGAUGUAAUUUAAAGCUGGCUAGGAGAAGCUGGGUAAGCCAGACACAAAGGGGACACCCCACUUCUCCUUGGACAAAGAUUUAGCAUAAGCACAGGUUAGAAGAAAUAAGGUAAUAAAAUGUUUUAUUAAUGGUUUAGGAUUGGGAAAUCCAUAGCACCUCAGGCUAACACACCUGCAGGUGAGACCUCGUGCAUUACUUUCAGCAUUAGGGAGAAGGCAGAAGAUGGUACCAGCCACUGACACUUAUUUUUGUUUCUAUUCUGUCUCAUCAAGUUUUACCAAAACUCUUCUCUGUGUUUUCACAUGGUCAUUCAUGUGAUAAAUGAAUGGACCCAGACAGGAGGUGGGGAAAUAACCCCCAUCCAAAUUAAAAAAGAUGAUAAAAACCUCA
Passer domesticus (house sparrow) is the source of this 908-nucleotide long non-coding RNA. RefSeq lists it as uncharacterized. NCBI's taxonomy places the organism in Eukaryota, Metazoa, Chordata, Aves, Passeriformes, Passeridae. The transcript is spliced from 2 exons. The record is from RefSeq and is a predicted model, not a curated record.